This 502-nucleotide ribosomal RNA is filed under the name uncultured bacterium. RNAcentral describes it as "partial 16S ribosomal RNA". It matches the Rfam family "Bacterial small subunit ribosomal RNA", at positions 28 to 523 of the family's 1533-position model. The record is from RNAcentral.
GAAGAACGCUAGCGGCAGGCCUAACACAUGCAAGUCGAGGGGCAGCACAGAAACAGCAAUGCUUUGGUAGCGAACGGCGGACGGGUGCGUAACGCGUAUGCAAACUACCUUUAACAGGGGGAUAACGGAGAGAAAUUUCCACUAAUACCCCAUAACAUCGAUCAAGGCAUAUUGAUUGGUUGAAAACUCCGGUGGUUAAAGAUGGGCAUGCGUUGUAUUAGGUAGUUGGUGAGGUAAUGGCUCACAAAGCGUACGAUACAUAGGGGGACUGAGAGGUUAGCCCCCCACACUGGUACUGAGACACGGACCAGACUCCUACGGGAGGCAGCAGUGAGGAAUAUUGGUCAAUGGGGGCAACCCUGAACCAGCCAUGCCGCGUGCAGGAAGACGGCUCUAUGAGUUGUAAACUGCUUUUAAACAGGGAUAAAGCACAGUAUGUAUACUGUGUUGAAGGUACUGUAAGAAUAAGGAUCGGCUAACUCCGUGCCAGCCGCCGCAGUAA